UAAUACAGAGGUCCCAAGCGUUGUUCGGAUUCACUGGGCGUAAAGGGUGCGUAGGUGGUGGGGUAAGUCCGAUGUGAAAGCUCCGAGCUCAACUCGGAAAUUGCAUUAGAAACUACCUCGCUGGAGGGUUGGAGGGGGGACUGGAAUUCUCGGUGUAGCAGUGAAAUGCGUAGAUAUCGAGAGGAACACCAGUGGCGAAGGCGAGUCCCUGGACAACUCCUGACACUGAGGCACGAAAGCUAGGGGAGCAAACAGGAUUAGAUACCCUGGUAGUCCUAGCCGUAAACGGUGCACGUUUGCUGUAAGAGGAUUCGACCCCUCUUGUGGCGUAGCCAACGCGUUAAACGUGCCGCCUGGGAAGUACGGUCGCAAGAUUA
RNAcentral lists this ribosomal RNA (377 nucleotides) under uncultured bacterium. Its description in RNAcentral is "bacterial SSU rRNA". It matches the Rfam family "Bacterial small subunit ribosomal RNA", at positions 521 to 896 of the family's 1533-position model. The record is from RNAcentral.